UACGUAGGGCGCAAGCGUUAUCCGGAAUUAUUGGGCGUAAAGAGCUCGUAGGCGGUUUGUCGCGUCUGCCGUGAAAGUCCGGGGCUCAACUCCGGAUCUGCGGUGGGUACGGGCAGACUAGAGUGAUGUAGGGGAGACUGGAAUUCCUGGUGUAGCGGUGAAAUGCGCAGAUAUCAGGAGGAACACCAGUAGCGAAGGCGGCACUCUGGGCCGGUACUGACGCUGAGGAGCGAAAGCGUGGGGAGCGAACAGG
This 253-nucleotide ribosomal RNA is filed under the name uncultured bacterium. Its description in RNAcentral is "partial 16S ribosomal RNA". It matches the Rfam family "Bacterial small subunit ribosomal RNA", at positions 524 to 776 of the family's 1533-position model. The record is from RNAcentral.